GAUUGAACGCUGGCGGCAUGCCUAACACAUGCAAGUCGAACGGGAGUAGCAAUACUCUAGUGGCGGACGGGUGAGGAAUACGUAGGAAUUUGCCCUUAAGUGGGGGAUAACCCGGGGAAACCCGGAUUAAUACCGCAUGAUCUCGAAAGAGCAAAGUGGGGGAUCNCAAGACCUCACGCUUUUGGAGAAGCCUACGUCGGAUUAGCUAGUUGGUGGGGUAAUGGCCUACCAAGGCGACGAUCCAUAGCUGGUCUGAGAGGAUGAUCAGCCACACUGGGACUGAGACACGGCCCAGACUCCUACGGGAGGCAGCAGUGGGGAAUAUUGGACAAUGGGCGAAAGCCUGAUCCAGCCAUGCCNNNUGAGUGAUGAAGGCCCUAGGUUGUAAGCUCUUCAACGUGAGUA
This 405-nucleotide ribosomal RNA is filed under the name uncultured rape rhizosphere bacterium wr0095. Its description in RNAcentral is "bacterial SSU rRNA". It matches the Rfam family "Bacterial small subunit ribosomal RNA", at positions 27 to 446 of the family's 1533-position model. The record is from RNAcentral.